RNAcentral lists this long non-coding RNA (897 nucleotides) under Vulpes vulpes (red fox). Its description in RNAcentral is "lncRNA (ENSVVUG00000008986.1)". Lineage: Eukaryota; Metazoa; Chordata; Mammalia; Carnivora; Canidae. The record is from RNAcentral.
AGGCAGUGGCCCGGAGUGCUGCCCUGUGCUCACCACGAUGCUUCUGGUGCCGGAGCCCCUGUGCCCCUGUCCCCUGUCUGCCCAGAUCUGCUGUUGGGGGAGAAGUCAGGCCCCGGACAGAGGAGGCCUGUGGCUCUGUUGCUAAGGCCAGCAGCUGUGGCCGUAGAUUAAACGGCCCCCAUGGACUUGGGGUGUCUCCACAGUUUGAGGACACCUACAAUGCGGUGCCAGAGAGAAAGCAGCGGCCGAGGCUCACCCUGAAGAAGUUGGUGCGGCGACUGCGCAUCCGGGAGCCUGCUCAGCACGUCCAGGCCCUGCUGGGCUACAGGUAGGAGACGUGCCCCGACAGACCCCCUCCCCCCGGCCCCGGGGCCCCCCACUUCCACGGCCGGCGCCUGUGCGUGGGCCCAGCAGCAGGAGUCGCAGGUGCGACUGGCCGGCUUCGACCUUUGCUUUCCACAUUAUUCUGAGCAGGUGUUGAGAUGGGGGCUUUUCCUCCUCUGUCCCAGAUACCCCUCCGACCUACAGAGGUUUUCUCGAAGUCGCCUCCCUGGGCCGUGGGACCCCAGCAGAGCCGGGAAGCGGAUGAAGCUGCUGCGGCCAGAGACCUGGGAGCGGGAGGUCAGCCUGCGGGGGAACAGAGCUCCCGUGUGGGAGGAGCUCAUCGACCACGGGAAGCUUCCCUUCAUGGCCCUGCUUCGGAACCUGUGCAACCUGCUGCGGGUUGGAGUCAGCGCCCGGCACCACGAGCUCACCCUCCAGAUGCUGCAGCAGGAGAAAUCAGUGAUCCACAGUCGGCAGUUUCCAUUCAGAUUCCUUAAUGCCCAUGACGCCAUCAAUAACUUGGAGGCCCAACUCAAAAAUAAAGGUAAUGUCUGCCUCCCGAAUCCGGUUUAU